AUACUUACCUGGCAGGGGAGAUGCCAUGACCAUGAAGGUGGUUUUCCCAGGGCAGGGCUCAUCCCUUGUACUUGGGACGAUGAGAGGUUACUUAAAAGGUGCACUGCACAUUAUUUGGAUGAUGGAUACUCCAAAAUCCCC
Molecule: small nuclear RNA, 141 nt
Organism: Microcebus murinus (gray mouse lemur)
Lineage: Eukaryota; Metazoa; Chordata; Mammalia; Primates; Cheirogaleidae
Gene: U1
Rfam family: U1 spliceosomal RNA
About the family: U1 is a small nuclear RNA (snRNA) component of the spliceosome (involved in pre-mRNA splicing). Its 5' end forms complementary base pairs with the 5' splice junction, thus defining the 5' donor site of an intron.
Source: Ensembl